UCCGGUGGCUAUAGCGGAGGGGUAACACCUCUUUCCAUUCCGAACAGAGAAGUUAAGCCCUCCAGCGCCGAUGGUACUGCUUGGGAAACCUUGCGGGAGAGUAGGACGCUGCCGGAU
This 117-nucleotide ribosomal RNA is filed under the name candidate division Zixibacteria bacterium SM23_81. Lineage: Bacteria; Pseudomonadati; Candidatus Zixiibacteriota. The record is from RNAcentral. RNAcentral also lists the same sequence under 1 other name.